RNAcentral lists this ribosomal RNA (442 nucleotides) under uncultured bacterium. RNAcentral's name for it is "bacterial SSU rRNA". It matches the Rfam family "Bacterial small subunit ribosomal RNA", at positions 29 to 469 of the family's 1533-position model. The record is from RNAcentral.
AUUGAACGCUGGCGGAAUGCUUCACACAUGCAAGUCGAACGGCAGCACGGGGCAACCUGGUGGCGAGUGGCGAACGGGUGAGUAAUACAUCGGAACGUGCCCAAUCGUGGGGGGAUAACGUAGCGAAAGUUACGCUAAUACCGCAUACGAUCUACGGAUGAAAGCGGGGGAUCGCAAGACCUCGCGCGAAUGGAGCGGCCGAUGUCAGAUUAGGUAGUUGGUGGGGUAAAGGCUCACCAAGCCAACGAUCUGUAGCUGGUCUGAGAGGACGACCAGCCACACUGGAACUGAGACACGGUCCAGACUCCUACGGGAGGCAGCAGUGGGGAAUUUUGGACAAUGGGCGCAAGCCUGAUCCAGCCAUGCCGCGUGUGUGAAGAAGGCCUUCGGUGUAAGCACUUAAGUCGGGGAGGAAGGCCUGAUGGCGUAAUAUCCAUCAGGA